UACGAGGGGGGCAAAUGUUGUUCGGAAUCACUGGGCGUAAAGGGAGCGUAGGCGGGGGUUUAAGUUAGGUGUUUAAUCCUGGGGCCCAACCCCAGUCGUGCACCUAAAACUGGACAUCUUGAAUAGGGGAGAGGUCAGUGGAAUUGGAGGUGUAGCGGUGGAAUGCGUAGAGAUCUCCAAGAACACCAGUUGCGAAGGCGGCUGACUGGACCCAUAUUGACGCUGAGGCUCGAAAGCAUGGGGAGCAAACAGG
RNAcentral lists this ribosomal RNA (253 nucleotides) under uncultured bacterium. Its description in RNAcentral is "partial 16S ribosomal RNA". It matches the Rfam family "Bacterial small subunit ribosomal RNA", at positions 524 to 776 of the family's 1533-position model. The record is from RNAcentral.